GACGAACGCUGGCGGCGUGCUUAACACAUGCAAGUCGAGCGGUAAGGCCCUUUCGGGGUACGACGAGCGGCGAACGGGUGAGUAACACGUGGGUGACCUGCCCUUACGCUCUGGGAUAAGCCUGGGAAACUGGGUCUAAUACCGGAUAUGACUCCAUGACGCAUGUUGUGGGGUGGAAAGCCUUGUGCGGCUAGGGAUGGGCCUGCGGCCUAUCAGCUUGUUGGUGGGGUGAUGGCCUACCAAGGCGACGACGGGUAGCCGGCCUGAGAGGGCGACCGGCCACACUGGGACUGAGACACGGCCCAGACUCCUACGGGAGGCAGCAGUGGGGAAUCUUGCGCAAUGGGCGAAAGCCUGACGCAGCGACGCCGCGUGGGGAUGACGG
Molecule: ribosomal RNA, 385 nt
Filed under: uncultured bacterium
Lineage: Bacteria
Description: bacterial SSU rRNA
Rfam family: Bacterial small subunit ribosomal RNA
Source: RNAcentral